CGUGAGCAACCUGCCCCUGACUCUGGGAUAACUACCGGAAACGGUGGCUAAUACCGGAUAUGACAUGCCUGGGCAUCUGGGUGUGUGGAAAGUUUUUCGGUUGGGGAUGGGCUCGCGGCCUAUCAGCUUGUUGGUGGGGUGAUGGCCUACCAAGGCGACGACGGGUAGCCGGCCUGAGAGGGCGACCGGCCACACUGGGACUGAGACACGGCCCAGACUCCUACGGGAGGCAGCAGUGGGGAAUAUUGCGCAAUGGGCGAAAGCCUGACGCAGCGACGCCGCGUGGGGGAUGAAGGCCUUCGGGUUGUAAACCUCUUUCAGCAGGGAAGAAGCGAGAGUGACGGUACCUGCAGAAGAAGCACCGGCUAACUACGUGCCAGCAGCCGCGGUAAUACGUAGGGUGCAAGCGUUGUCCGGAUUUAUUGGGCGUAAAGAGCUCGUAGGCGGUUUGUCGCGUCUGCUGUGAAAACUCGGGGCUUAACU
Molecule: ribosomal RNA, 483 nt
Filed under: uncultured Kineosporia sp.
Lineage: Bacteria; Bacillati; Actinomycetota; Actinomycetes; Kineosporiales; Kineosporiaceae
Description: bacterial SSU rRNA
Rfam family: Bacterial small subunit ribosomal RNA
Source: RNAcentral